CUAAGCGCUUGGGAGAGUACAGACCUGGCUUGGCUUCUACAACACCUGAAGUUUUGUCUAAACUCUGCCUCUUAGACUUGUGAUCUGCUUUCAUGCCUUUGUUCGGGGUCGAAGCCCGAUUCAAACAAGAGAAAAAGAAACAUCUUCAACCCUAACAGCACAUGACGCUAUUCUAAACACUGCACAAACUUAUCUCCUCCCAGGAUCUUCGGAUCUAGAGGGCCCGCUAUUGAUGAAACCAAAGCUGUUCCAGGGCAUAUCAAACACUGGACUUUGGGAACAAAAAUGAAAUGGAUAUGGAGAAAUAUUAAUCACACGUGCAAGACAAAGGAUCAGUGAAGGGAAGUGAUGGAGUGCCCUGGAGGACAAGGCCAAAUCUCUCAAUAAAAGGCUGUUCAAGAUCUUCAC
Long non-coding RNA from Ornithorhynchus anatinus (platypus), 408 nucleotides. RefSeq lists it as uncharacterized. The record is from RefSeq and is a predicted model, not a curated record. The transcript has 2 exons. NCBI's taxonomy places the organism in Eukaryota, Metazoa, Chordata, Mammalia, Monotremata, Ornithorhynchidae.